Molecule: ribosomal RNA, 376 nt
Filed under: uncultured bacterium
Lineage: Bacteria
Description: bacterial SSU rRNA
Rfam family: Bacterial small subunit ribosomal RNA
Source: RNAcentral
GACGUAGGGGGCGAGCGUUGUCCGGAAUUACUGGGCGUGAAGAGCACGUAGGCGGGAACCUAAGUCAGGUGUGAAAGACCGAGGCUCAACCUCGGGUGUGCACUUGAAACUGGGUUUCUUGAGGGCAGGAGAGGAAAGCAGAAUUCCUGGUGUAGCGGUGAAAUGCGUAGAAAUCAGGAGGAAUACCAGUGGCGAAGGCGGCUUUCUGGACUGACCCUGACGCUGAGGUGCGAAAGCGUGGGUAGCAAACAGGAUUAGAUACCCUGGUAGUCCACGCCGUAAACGAUGGAUACUAGGUGUGGGAGGUAUCGACCCCUUCCGUGCCGCAGCUAACGCAAUAAGUAUCCCGCCUGGGGAGUACGGUCGCAAGGCUGAA